AUUUGAGUGAGUGGCGGACGGGUGAGUAACACGUGGGUAACCUGCCUAAAGGUGGGGGAUAACAUUUGGAAACAGAUGCUAAUACCGCAUAAAACCUAACACCACAUGGUGUAGGGUUGAAAGAUGGUUUCGGCUAUCACUUUAGGAUGGACCCGCGGUGCAUUAGUUAGUUGGUGAGGUAAAGGCUCACCAAGACCGUGAUGCAUAGCCGACCUGAGAGGGUAAUCGGCCACACUGGGACUGAGACACGGCCCAGACUCCUACGGGAGGCAGCAGUAGGGAAUCUUCCACAAUGGACGAAAGUCUGAUGGAGCAACGCCGCGUGAGUGAAGAAGGUUUUCGGAUCGUAAAACUCUGUUGUUGGUGAAGAAUGUAUCUGAUAGUAACUGAUCAGGUAGUGACGGUAUCCAACCAGAAAGCCACGGCUAACUACGUG
Molecule: ribosomal RNA, 436 nt
Filed under: uncultured bacterium
Lineage: Bacteria
Description: bacterial SSU rRNA
Rfam family: Bacterial small subunit ribosomal RNA
Source: RNAcentral